RNAcentral lists this ribosomal RNA (430 nucleotides) under bacterium. Its description in RNAcentral is "partial 16S ribosomal RNA". It matches the Rfam family "Bacterial small subunit ribosomal RNA", at positions 355 to 776 of the family's 1533-position model. The record is from RNAcentral.
UGGGGAAUAUUGGACAAUGGGCGCAAGCCUGAUCCAGCCAUGCCGCGUGUGUGAAGAAGGCCUUUUGGUUGUGAAGCACUUUAAGCGAGGAGGAGGCUACUUGGAUUAAUACUCUAGGAUAGUGGACGUUACUCGCAGAAUAAGCACCGGCUAACUCUGUGCCAGCAGCCGCGGGAAUACAGAGGGUGCGAGCGUUAAUCGGAUUUACUGGGCGUAAAGCGUGCGUAGGCGGCUUCUUAAGUCGGAUGUGAAAUCCCUGAGCUUAACUUAGGAAUUGCAUUCGAUACUGGGAAGCUAGAGUAUGGGAGAGGAUGGUAGAAUUCCAGGUGUAGCGGUGAAAUGCGUAGAGAUCUGGAGGAAUACCGAUGGCGAAGGCAGCCAUCUGGCCUAAUACUGACGCUGAGGUACGAAAGCAUGGGGAGCAAACAGG